UAAAGGAGAAUCCUUGCCAGAUCCCCUUUUACAAGUACAUCUCUAUAGCUAAAGUGAACCAGACCCAGCUCAUCUGAGCCUGAAGUCGGUUUGGAUUCAAACUGACCCAACCGAUUCUGUGCACAUCCAUAAUUCUGGCUGCCUGAGGCAAGAAACUGCCUUAUUGGACAACCAAGAGACAAAAAAGAAGAAGAAGAAAGCACAUGUGACAUCUCACAGUUAUCUAAUACAUCAGCUUGGGAUUCUGCUUCCCCAUCAAGUCUCCUCUUAUUUCAUUCAGAUUCAAUGACUUGGAUGUCUCCUUAUUUACAGUAUGGGAAUCUAGCACAGACACACACUCUGAAGAUCCAAGAGCAGGAUUCCUAAUUCUGGGCCAAAACGUAUGGACAAAGAACAUUUGAAGUAGUAGGAUCUAUUAAAAAGAGAGUGAAAUGGAUUAAAAUCCAUAAGGUCAUAUCAAUUGAAUUCUUUAUGCUUCUAUUCCCUACACUUUUUGUUCCAUCCAAAGACUUAUAACUCUAGAUACUGAGUUUGUGGAUUUGGGCAACCACUGGAUUCAUGACUUGGAGAGUCUGUUAAUGUGCCACUCAGCACAGUAUAAAGAGUAGCUGGCCGGAACAAGCAGCUUAGGGAAUAUGGUAGGGUUUGUGCUUUUAAGAAGCUAACAGACCACAUUUUUCAAUAUUUUCAGGAUGUAUGUUUUAAAGACUACUUCUUCUGCUGUUGGUGAUGCCUUGGUUCAGUGCCCAAGCUAAAUACCUGCAAGAACAACUGACAUAUAUACCAGUCUUGGCAACUCUUCCAACCAAAGCACUGUCUAGAAGCCAAAGCUGGAUCAGCAAUUUAUAGUGCCUCAUACAUGCUGUUGGUUUUAGGUAUUGCCCAAUCCCUAGGCUGACUUCUACAUCCCACUGUGUUAUGUAAUUAAAUGUGAAACAGUUCAAAAAUAGAUCUUUGAAUCUCUGUGCCUCAUAUGGAACUAAGAAUCAGGUUUGUUUAAAAAUGGCAACGGACUGUAGCAAUCAAAGCUGUCAAAUCCGAAUAUCUGGGUCUAGCACAACAACAAAAAUAUUGUUGAAAAUCUGCUUCUGCACUGCACACUUUUUAAAAUGUUUGCUGAUUGAAUGACCGUAACAAUAAAGAUUUGAUUUG
Long non-coding RNA from Hemicordylus capensis (graceful crag lizard), 1152 nucleotides. RefSeq lists it as uncharacterized. Lineage: Eukaryota; Metazoa; Chordata; Lepidosauria; Squamata; Cordylidae. The transcript is spliced from 3 exons. The record is from RefSeq and is a predicted model, not a curated record.